CCUGGAUUUGAGGCGGUGACUUGUCUGACUCCAUUUCUCCUUCUUAGGACGUGGGACGAUGCACUCGGGUGUGCUCCGUUCUGUCUCUUCCCCAGAUUGUCAAGGCAUCUACCUCCAAGUCUUGCAGAAUUUACUCACCGGAUAAGAAGUCGGGAGGCUGAGGUCAGGCCCAGCUUGAGUCAUGGUCAUCUUCUGGGAUCUUAGCUUCUUCCUGUAAGGGAUAGGCUGUGCGACCAAAGUCAUUGGUUAGUGGCAUGUUGAGUGUGGAUGACGUCCAGGAAUGUCUUUGAAGGGUAAAAGCACCCCCUUCUCAUUACCCUUUUUGGUUGGACAGAUGCAGCCAGCUGGCUUAGAAGAGCCACCUGGGUCCCAGAGUUGGAAGCUCCAUGCUGAGGAGGUCCAGCAAUAAGUUGCACGCAGCUGGGGCCUCUGAUGACUCACACACAGAGUGACCACUGAAACAUCUGCAUGAGAGAGAAGUAAACAUUCAUCUUUUAAGCUCCACUGUAUUUGAGAGCCUUUCUGACAUUCACGAUUAAAUUUCAUGCUCACCCAUAUAGAAUUUUGUCCCGAGCUGUGAAGCACACUUGUCCUGAAUGUGAAGCAGGAACCUCAGGAGGAUAUAGGCUGCAAGGACCCAGACACCACAGACUAGAAAGAUGGCAACCCCUGUGAGGUAGGAGCAAAAACAUGUGGUCAAAUUGCAUCUCCGAAGACAGACCAGAUGUUUGCGGAAAUGGUUUUGGAAAAUCAGCAUGCUGGUGGUGCUA
Molecule: non-coding RNA, 770 nt
Organism: Peromyscus maniculatus bairdii (prairie deer mouse)
Lineage: Eukaryota; Metazoa; Chordata; Mammalia; Rodentia; Cricetidae
Source: RefSeq, a predicted model, not a curated record